GCAUAUCAAUAAGCGGAGGAAAAGAAACCAACAGGGAUUGCCCCAGUAACGGCGAGUGAAGCGGCAACAGCUCAAAUUUGAAAUCUGGCCCCCCAGGCCCGAGUUGUAAUUUGCAGAGGAUGCUUUGGGCGCGGCGCCUUCCGAGUUCCCUGGAACGGGACGCCACAGAGGGUGAGAGCCCCGUCUGGUUGGAUGCCUAGCCUAUGUAAAGCUCCUUCGACGAGUCGAGUAGUUUGGGAAUGCUGCUCUAAACGGGAGGUAUAUGUCUUCUAAAGCUAAAUAUUGGCCAGAGACCGAUAGCGCACAAGUAGAGUGAUCGAAAGAUGAAAAGCACUUUGAAAAGAGGGUUAAAUAGUACGUGAAAUUGUUGAAAGGGAAGCGCUUACGACCAGACUUGGGCCCGGCGGAUCACCCGGCGUUCUUCGCCGGGGCACUCCGCCGGCCCAGGCCAGCAUCGGUUUGCCGCGGGGGAUAAAGGCGGCGGGAACGUAGCUCCCUCGGGAGUGUUAUAGCCCGCCGCGUAAUACCCUGCGGCGGACCGAGGACCGCGCAUCUGCAAGGAUGCUGGCGUAAUGGUCGUCAGCGACCCGUCUUGAAACACGGACCAAGGAGUCGUCUUCGUAUGCGAGUGUUCGGGUGGAAAACCCCUACGCGUAAUGAAAGUGAACGCAGGUGGGAGCUUUGGCGCACCAUCGACCGAUCCUGAUGUUCUCGGAUGGAUUUGAGUAAGAGCAUACGGGGCCGGACCCGAAAGAAGGUGAACUAUGCCUGUAUAGGGUGAAGCCAGAGGAAACUCUGGUGGAGGCUCGCAGCGGUUCUGACGUGCAAAUCGAUCGUCAAAUAUGGGCAUGGGGGCGAAAGACUAAUCGAACCUUCUAGUAGCUGGUUUCCGCCGA
RNAcentral lists this ribosomal RNA (896 nucleotides) under Niesslia aemula. RNAcentral's name for it is "LSU rRNA". It matches the Rfam family "Eukaryotic large subunit ribosomal RNA", at positions 38 to 964 of the family's 3401-position model. Lineage: Eukaryota; Fungi; Ascomycota; Sordariomycetes; Hypocreales; Niessliaceae. The record is from RNAcentral.